GUAGCUGUUGCCAGGGCUGGAUUCUGUAGUAGCUGUUGGGAGAAGGACCUCUGGCUCCCACUCUGUGAGGGAGGAUUCCCCGCACAGACCAGUCUGUUAAAUAAAAGAGAUUCACGUUACUAAAGUGUGUGCUUCAAAAAGCAAUUCGCAAUUGCCCUGCAAACUAUUUCAGACCCUGAAAUCCACCAACAUGAUGUUGGGUGGAUUGUUCUAGAGAAAAACUAAAAAGAAAAAUUACAGUAUCUUAAAUAUUUUGUAAGGUUUUCUAUUCUUUUACCUGAACUGUUGAGUAUGCCUGUCCUUCUGUCUGAAUUAUCAGUGGGAAAGUUGGCAGAGGGAGAAUUCCCUUGUACAGACAGAGGUGUCACUGGCAGGUUCUUAAGACUGAAGAUGAAGAAGGUUUGAGUCUUUCCCUGUGUGGGCUGCUGGUGUCACUGCAAGGUGCAAAUGCAGAAAGUGCCAUCAUGUCUCAAGAAGCAUAAGAGAAGGCAAUAUUGAUGCAAGUGUGGAAGCCACAUUAAGAAACAACAUCCCGUCGGAGUUAAAACCCAGGUACAGCUCAUUCCUGAUGGUGUUCCCCACAGCCACGAGGAAGAGAAGAGGGAUUUUCCUCCCUCAGCUCCUCCAGCUGUAGACAUGGAGCCCAUGCUCAGCGAGGCACCCUUCUGCAAACCCACGCUGCUGGACAGGCCAGACCCGGGGUUUAUCCCUCCGGACCGUGAGCAAGUCAUCUCUCCUGGGCUGCCGCCAGCGGGGCCCUGCUCAUCUCGUUCCACCUUAAACCCUUCUGAGCAGUGUGCCUUGGCCUUCUGUGCCCCAUCUCUAGAGGAGGAGGAGAUCUCUGCUCAGUCCUGCAGUGCUAAUGAAUAGCAACAUCUCUGAAACAGUGUGACAGCGUGGGUGAGGUUCUGCCACCUCUAAAAGGAAAAACAAUUAAGCCUACUUUCCCCUGCCCCAGUUUAAGCUUAAAUCUUAAGCCUGGGAUGGAAUAACAGUCUCAUGUGUUUCAGACACCUAAAUUACUUUCAAGCUGCUUCUCCACUGGGCAUAGGAGGCUGCUGCACCAUAUAAAUUCUGUAAUUGUGUUUGAGAAAUGGAAAAAUCUUAUGUGCCCAAGCCACCUAAAGUGCAUAAUUACUCCACUGAAAUACCUUUGGAGUCUCCAGACUGAAUUGCCACUGACCAACACGCCGGCUGAAAUGUCAGACCCACUGCAGUGCAAGUCCCACCGUUUCACCAUCGCUGCUGUAUUCUCCAGUAAAGUGCCAGAACUGAAUUCAGCCUCCCAGUAAGUGAUAUCUAAAUCACUGCUGCAAGGAGAGAAUGAAAUAUAGGUGUGUGAGAGAGAGGGAAAGGAUAUGACUGAAUAAGAGAAACUCACACAGCAAGAAGAAAUAUCUGCAGCGGUGUACAGAAAUGUGCUGCUUUCCUCACGGCUUCUGCUGGCUGCCGUUGGUACAACACGUGUGUGUCAGGGACAUGUCUGAAGCUAUUUGGAAACCUGCUUUUGGAUGUGCUCAGUGGGUGACCUUUGCCAGCAGCGAUAUUCCUGUAGCAUGUACAAGGCCAGAGCAGAGUCUCCUGAACACUUUGCUGUGGGUACUUAUGAUGACCACUUGGCCUUGUGCAUUAGGAUGAGACUUUUUGAAAGGGAAGAAAAAAGGAGAAACAUGGAUAAGUUGCCCCAGGCAGUAAAAGUGUAUUAGGGCAAGCAGCAGACUCAGCAAAAAGCCCCACCCAACCCAGUAAG
This is a long non-coding RNA of Falco peregrinus (peregrine falcon), 1750 nucleotides long. RefSeq lists it as uncharacterized. The transcript has 6 exons. NCBI's taxonomy places the organism in Eukaryota, Metazoa, Chordata, Aves, Falconiformes, Falconidae. The record is from RefSeq and is a predicted model, not a curated record.